ACCUAGAUAGCUUAUGGUUAAGAGCAUAACAUUGAAGAUGUUAAGGAAAUAGUAAUUAUUUUUAGGUA
Molecule: transfer RNA, 68 nt
Filed under: Pternoscirta caliginosa
Lineage: Eukaryota; Metazoa; Arthropoda; Insecta; Orthoptera; Acrididae
Description: tRNA-Phe
Rfam family: tRNA
About the family: Transfer RNA (tRNA) molecules are approximately 80 nucleotides in length. Their secondary structure includes four short double-helical elements and three loops (D, anti-codon, and T loops).
Source: RNAcentral